AGAGUUUGAUCCUGGCUCAGGAUGAACGCUGGCGGCGUGCCUAACACAUGCAAGUCGAGCGAUUCUCUUCGGAGAAGAGCGGCGGACGGGUGAGUAACGCGUGGGUAACCUGCCCUGUACACACGGAUAACAUACCGAAAGGUAUGCUAAUACGGGAUAAUAUAAGAAAUUCGCAUGUUUUUCUUAUCAAAGCUCCGGCGGUACAGGAUGGACCUGCGUCUGAUUAGCUAGUUGGUGAGGUAACGGCUCACCAAGGCGACGAUCAGUAGCCGACCUGAGAGGGUGAUCGGCCACAUUGGAACUGAGACACGGUCCAAACUCCUACGGGAGGCAGCAGUGGGGAAUAUUGCACAAUGGGCGAAAGCCAGAUGCAGCAACGCCGCGUGAGCGAUGAAGGCCUUUGGGUCGUAAAGCUCUGUCCUCAAGGAAGAUAAUGACGGUACUUGAGGAGGAAGCCCCGGCUAACUACGUGCCAGCAGCCGCGGUAAUACGUAGGGGGCUAGCGUUAUCCGGAUUUACUGGGCGUAAAGGGUGCGUAGGCGGUCUUUUAAGUCAGGAGUGAAAGGCUACGGCUCAACCGUAGUAAGCCCUUGAAACUGGAGGACUUGAGUGCAGGAGAGGAGAGUGGAAUUCCUAGUGUAGCGGUGAAAUGCGUAGAUAUUAGGAGGAACACCAGUAGCGAAGGCGGCUCUCUGGACUGUAACUGACGCUGAGGCACGAAAGCGUGGGGAGCAAACAGGAUUAGAUACCCUGGUAGUCCACGCCGUAAACGAUGAGUACUAGCUGUCGGAGGUUACCCCCUUCGGUGGCGCAGCUAACGCAUUAAGUACUCCGCCUGGGGAGUACGCUCGCAAGAGUGAAACUCAAAGGAAUUGACGGGGACCUGCACAAGUAGCGGAGCAUGUGGUUUAAUUCGAAGCAACGCGAAGAACCUUACCUAAGCUUGACAUCCUUUUGACCGAUGCCUAAUCGCAUCUUUCCCUUCGGGGACAGAAGUGACAGGUGGUGCAUGGUUGUCGUCAGCUCGUGUCGUGAGAUGUUGGGUUAAGUCCCGCAACGAGCGCAACCCUUGCCUUUAGUUGCCAUCAUUAAGUUGGGCACUCUAGAGGGACUGCCAGGGAUAACCUGGAGGAAGGUGGGGAUGACGUCAAAUCAUCAUGCCCCUUAUGCUUAGGGCUACACACGUGCUACAAUGGGUGGUACAGAGGGCAGCGAAGUCGUGAGGCCAAGCUAAUCCCUUAAAGCCAUUCUCGGUUCGGAUUGUAGGCUGAAACUCGCCUACAUGAAGCUGGAGUUACUAGUAAUCGCAGAUCAGAAUGCUGCGGUGAAUGCGUUCCCGGGUCUUGUACACACCGCCCGUCACACCAUGGGAGUUGGGGGCGCCCGAAGCCGGCUAGCUAACCUUUUGGAAGCGGUCGUCGAAGGUGAAACCAAUAACUGGGGUGAAGUCGUAACAAGGUA
This 1461-nucleotide ribosomal RNA is filed under the name metagenome. Its description in RNAcentral is "bacterial SSU rRNA". It matches the Rfam family "Bacterial small subunit ribosomal RNA". The record is from RNAcentral.